Molecule: long non-coding RNA, 1036 nt
Organism: Octodon degus (degu)
Lineage: Eukaryota; Metazoa; Chordata; Mammalia; Rodentia; Octodontidae
Exons: 3
Source: RefSeq, a predicted model, not a curated record
AGAGAAAACAAAGCAAUCCAACAAACUCAGCGGGGACACUGACUGCCACAGCAAGGACCCAAAGGAACAAGGAGUAGAUCUAGAAGUUGAAGUAUAGGGCAGUGUACAACCUGUAUAACUGUUCAUGAGCUCCAGAGGAGCAGAAAUAAAGAGAUUGAUGAAAUACCAGAAGAAGGGUGCUACCCACUGCUGGCAGAUAUGUGGACCCUGCUGGUAAGAAGAUGGGCAGACAUUCUGCAGAGCACUCUGUAGCAGGGAUUGAACUCAGGACGUUGUGCUUGCCAGGAAGGCACUUAUUCUACUGAGCUAUCUCUCCAGCCCAAUUUUCCUGAUUUUGUUCCAAUCAAGUCACCACCCUAACUGAUAUACAAUAGCACCACCUCCAAUGCUCCCAUUUGAUCAAGACUGGAGUGACAAAGAGAGGAAAUCCAAUCAACCUGGAGCAGUGUCUGAAAUCCUGCCCACCUGAGAGAAGGCCUAAAGUGAUGAGAAGACAUCCUCCUGGGAAAUGGGCUCACUAGCAGAGGGAUGCACUUCACUGACCAGCCCCCCAUGCUGGUAGAGAGUGGGUGAAGUACAAAUUAUCAUCUAGGAUUUCACAAGAACAGGGAAAACUGGAGAUCCAGAGAGUCAAAAGAAUAAUGGGAUUUACCAGUGGGUCUUGGGUCCCAUUCUCCACAGUGGCCAUUUCAGGUCUUAAUCCCUGACCCUGAAGUGCCCAAGCCCAUCUUAGCUAGGAGCCAAGGUCAGGUUGCCAGUUCACAGUAGAGAACAGAGAUUAAGACCCAAGGAACGGAGGAGAAGAACUGACCUGAGAACACUUGUCACUGUGGCUCGUGAGCCAGAGCCAGACAGUCAAGGAGGCCAUAAAUACUGUGCUGAACCUUCAGGACAGCACCAGGUCCUGGCUCCCAAGUUCAACUUCCUCUUCCUCAGCUAUCACGGAUAAGCCUCUUCCAGACAUCAGCACUGUCACUUUCCUUAAACAAGGUUUUAAUGGAUGGGGUACCUAGGAAAAAUGAGCACUCUGGGUACA